GAUGAACGCUGGCGGCGUGCCUAACACAUGCAAGUCGAACGGAGAUUACGGACGGAAGUUUUCGGAUGGAAGCCUGUAAUUCUUAGUGGCGGACGGGUGAGUAACGCGUGGGCAACCUGCCCUAUACAGGGGGAUAGCAGCUGGAAACGGCUGGUAAGACCGCAUAAGUCGGUUAAAUCGCAUGAUUUGAUCGGGAAAUGAGCAAUCAGGUAUAGGAUGGGCCCGCGUCCGAUUAGCCAGUUGGCAGGGUAAAAGCCUACCAAAGCGACGAUCGGUAGCCGGACUGAGAGGUCGGACGGCCACAUUGGGACUGAGACACGGCCCAAACUCCUACGGGAGGCAGCAGUGGGUGAUAUUGCACAAUGGAGGAAACUCUGAUGCAGCGACGCCGCGUGAGUGAAGAAGUAUUUCGGUACGUAAAGCUCUAUCAGCAGGGAAGAUGAUGACGGUACCUGACUAAGAAGCCCCGGCUAACUACGUG
RNAcentral lists this ribosomal RNA (481 nucleotides) under uncultured bacterium. Its description in RNAcentral is "partial 16S ribosomal RNA". It matches the Rfam family "Bacterial small subunit ribosomal RNA", at positions 28 to 507 of the family's 1533-position model. The record is from RNAcentral.